RNAcentral lists this ribosomal RNA (757 nucleotides) under Erysiphe quercicola. RNAcentral describes it as "eukaryotic LSU rRNA". It matches the Rfam family "Eukaryotic large subunit ribosomal RNA", at positions 1 to 771 of the family's 3401-position model. The record is from RNAcentral. Lineage: Eukaryota; Fungi; Ascomycota; Leotiomycetes; Helotiales; Erysiphaceae.
UUGACCUCGAAUCAGGUAGGAAUACCCGCUGAACUUAAGCAUAUCAAUAAGCGGAGGAAAAGAAACCAACCGGGAUUACCUCAGUAACGGCGAGUGAAGCGGUAACAGCUCAAAUUUGAAAUCUGGCUCUUGCGGAGUCCGAGUUGUAAUUUGUAGAAGAUGCUUUGGGUUGUGGGUUCGGCCUAAGUUCCUUGGAACAGGACGUCAUAGAGGGUGAGAAUCCCGUAUGUGGCCGAGGCCCGCGCCUAUGUAAAGCUCUUUCAACGAGUCGAGUUGUUUGGGAAUGCAGCUCAAAAUGGGUGGUAAAUUUCAUCUAAAGCUAAAUAUGGGCCAGAGACCGAUAGCGCACAAGUAGAGUGAUCGAAAGAUGAAAAGCACUUUGGAAAGAGAGUUAAACAGUACGUGAAAUUGUUGAAAGGGAAGCGCUUGCAACCAGACUUGGGCGCUGCCGAUCACCUUGAGUUUUCUCGAGUGCACUCGACAGCGCACAGGCCAGCAUCGGUUCGGGUGGCUGGAUAAAGGCCGUAGGAAUGUGGCUCUCUUCGGGGAGUGUUAUAGCCUACGGUGCCAUGCAGCCCAGCCGGACCGAGGACCGCGCCUUCGGGCUAGGAUGCUGGCGUAAUGGUUGUAAGCGACCCGUCUUGAAACACGGACCAAGGAGUCUAACAUCUAUGCGAGUGUUUGGGUGGUAAACCCAUACGCGGAAUGAAAGUGAACGUAGGUGAGAACCCCUUUGGGGCGCAUCAUCGACCGAUCC